UUAAAAUGUAAAAUUAUUACUUAAUUAGUAUUAGUUAUGUUCUUGAAAAUUAAAGAUUUUGGCGGUAUUAUAGUCUUUUUAGAGGAACCUGUUCUAUAAUUGAUAAUCCACGAUUAAUUAAACUUAUUUUAUUAAUUUGUAUAUCGUCGUAGUUUGAAUGUUUUAGAAGAAUUAGAAUGUUCAAGAUUUAUUAUUAUAAAAGAAUUCAGAUCAAGGUACAGUUUAUAGAUAAGGAGAAAUGGGUUACAAUAAAUUUAUUUAAAAUGGAUUAAAUAAUGAAAUUUAUUUAUGAAAGUGGAUUUAACAGUAAUUUUAAAUAUAUUUUUAAAAUGAAUUUAGCUCUAUAAUGUGU
RNAcentral lists this ribosomal RNA (352 nucleotides) under Teredolaemus sp. CO903. RNAcentral's name for it is "partial 12S ribosomal RNA". Lineage: Eukaryota; Metazoa; Arthropoda; Insecta; Coleoptera; Bothrideridae. The record is from RNAcentral.